UCCAGUAUAACUAGCAAAAUAAUUCUGCCAGACAGAUAGGAUUGUCUGAAACCCAUCCUCUUGCCAAUGGAACAGAAAUAUGAUGAUGAUGCUCUUCAUAAUAUAAUUAGCAUCCAUUUUGCUCUAAAGGUAAACCUCAGGAUUACUUUCUCUGAAGUCUUCAGGAGCCAUUGAAAUGCUAAACACUCAGAAUAACUGGGAGAAGUAGACUUAAGCAAAACAUGGGCUGUUGUUUGAGGAAGAUGGAAACUGCUCGCAGGAGAAUCCAGAAGGGCAUUGCAAAAGUGACCUUAGUACCAACAAAAAGAGGCUCCUGAGUUCCACUGCUAUAAUCAUUCCUGAUUGUAGGUGAGUUCAUGGUAGUGAAGCCUUUGGGAGAACAGUUUACUGAAUUUCAGACAGAAACAGAGGAUUUAUGAGCUUGUGUACCGGGGUGUUGUACUAGAAAAUGUUUCACUUUGUGAGGCUGUUACUAGUGUGGAGUUAAAGACAAAACAAGGUGUAAAACAUGGUGGACGAGAUAAAGAACAUGCAUGGAGUACCAAUUUUUACUUUUAAAUCGUUUCUUCAAGAUCAGAAAGGAAUAUAGUGUUUUAGAGGAUAAUCCUGUGGCAAGUCAGCUCCAUGUUAAGACUUAAAGAUGGACAGUGAAUGUGGAAGAUAGAAAAAUCUAAACAAGAUGAAAGAAGAAAGGAGAUUUGAAAAAAACCCAAACUGUCUGUCACAUAUCAGGUUCGUAUCUUGAAGAAUCAGAUUGAAUACAUUGAUGAGUAAAUCUUAUGACUCCCUUGGAACAGAGAAGUUACUCAGGAUCCACCUUUGCUGAAUGUUGAGAUUCUGAAAUAAAGUUAAUUAUUCUGUCUAAUGAGUGCUGCAAAGGCCUUACACAAACCUGCAUGAAAGUCUUGGGCACAACAUCUGGACAUAGGUAGCAGACAGACUGCCUGUUGCCCUGAUCCAGCUGCUUUCUUCUGGCUCAGCCUGAAAACUCAGGAGAGUGCACAAGUAGGGAUUAAUGAGCUGUUUUCAGGGAAAGCAGAUGCUCCAGGGAAGAUUGCACAGAGGUUUCAGAUAUUCAACAGACCAGCUCCUGCACACUCUCUGUUUAAACCUUCCCAAGUUUAACAACAACUGAGGAUCCAUUUUGCUUGAUCAGGCUCUCAAGGUGCCCAAGUUACUUCCAGCAGCCUGAGAAGGUGCUGGUAUGUAAUGAUAAAAAUACUACACCUGAGCAGACAUUCCUUUUCCUUUUGGAAUAACCAAAAGACCAGAUGGCUUGGCUUACAAGACUGACUCAGGCAGCAGUAGCUGCAAUAGAUCUUCAGGUGUGACACAUUUUGACACUGUGAUAACCUGAUAUUUGAAAUCUUGCUAUGGUAUUCAGAAAUGUUUAAUAAAGUAA
Molecule: non-coding RNA, 1402 nt
Organism: Cyanistes caeruleus (blue tit)
Lineage: Eukaryota; Metazoa; Chordata; Aves; Passeriformes; Paridae
Source: RefSeq, a predicted model, not a curated record